RNAcentral lists this ribosomal RNA (842 nucleotides) under Rickettsia sp. 60a. Its description in RNAcentral is "bacterial SSU rRNA". It matches the Rfam family "Bacterial small subunit ribosomal RNA", at positions 92 to 972 of the family's 1533-position model. Lineage: Bacteria; Pseudomonadati; Pseudomonadota; Alphaproteobacteria; Rickettsiales; Rickettsiaceae. The record is from RNAcentral.
UUAGUGGUGACGGGUGAGUAACACGUGGGAAUCUGCCCAUCAGUACGGAAUAACUUUUAGAAAUAAAAGCUAAUACCGUAUAUUCUCUACGGAGGAAAGAUUUAUCGCUGAUGGAUGAGCCCGCGUCAGAUUAGGUAGUCGGUGAGGUAAUGGCUCACCAAGCCUACGAUCUGUAACUGGUCUGAAAGGAUGAUCAGCCACACUGGGACUGAAACACGGCCCAAACUCCUACGGGAGGCAGCAGUGGGGAAUAUUGGACAAUGGGCGAAAGCCUGAUCCAGCAAUACCGAGUGAGUGAUGAAGGCCCUAGGGUUGUAAAGCUCUUUUAGCAAGGAAAAUAAUGACGUUACUUGCAGAAAAAGCCCCGGCUAACUCCGUGCCAGCAGCCGCGGUAAGACGGAGGGGGCUAGCGUUGUUCGGAAUUACUGGGCGUAAAGAGUGCGUAGGCGGUUUAUUAAGUUGGAAGUGAAAGCCCGGGGCUUAACCUCGGAAUUGCUUUCAAAACUACUAAUCUAGAGUGUAGUAGGGGAUGAUGGAAUUCCUAGUGUAGAGGUGAAAUUCUUACAUAUUAAGAGGAACGCCGGUGGCGAAGGCGGUCAUCUGGGCUACAACUGACGCUGAUGCACGAAAGCGUGGGGAGCAAACAGGAUUAUAUACCCUGGUAGUCCCCGCCGUAAACGAUGAGUGCUAGAUAUUGGGAGAUUUUCUCUCGCUUUCUCAGCUAACACAUUAACCACUCCCCCUGGGGAGUACGGUCCCCCGAUUAAAACUCAAAGGAAUUGACUGGGGCUUCGCACAAACGGUGGACCCGCGGUUUAUUUCUAUGUUACUCUAAAAACCUU